This 186-nucleotide ribosomal RNA is filed under the name Triticum aestivum (bread wheat). Its description in RNAcentral is "partial small subunit ribosomal RNA". Lineage: Eukaryota; Viridiplantae; Streptophyta; Magnoliopsida; Poales; Poaceae. The record is from RNAcentral.
GAAGAAAACAGGGGUUCUAUUGAAUUUCAAGUAUUCAGUCCCACCAAUAAGAUACGGAGACUUGCUUCACAUUUGGAAUUACACAAAAAAAAUGAUUUUUCAUCGGAAAGAGGUCUACGAAGACUUUAUGCUGAAUUUUACAGCAAAAAGGAGGGCUGGGAUUUUCUUUUUAAUAAUGAUGGUUGA